Molecule: ribosomal RNA, 585 nt
Filed under: Oxalobacteraceae bacterium TDB-034
Lineage: Bacteria; Pseudomonadati; Pseudomonadota; Betaproteobacteria; Burkholderiales; Oxalobacteraceae
Description: bacterial SSU rRNA
Rfam family: Bacterial small subunit ribosomal RNA
Source: RNAcentral
CGGGUGACUAAUAUAUCCUUAACGUGGGUCGAGUGGGGGAUAACGUAAGGUCUGUUGCGCCGGCAGGGCAAACUACCUCAGGAUGAAAGCAGGGGAUCUUCGGACCUUGUGCUCCUGGAGCGGCCGAUAUCUGAUUAGCUAGUUGGUGAGGUAAAGGCUCACCAAGGCAACGAUCAGUAGCUGGUCUGAGAGGACGACCAGCCACACUGGAACUGAGACACGGUCCAGACUCCUACGGGAGGCAGCAGUGGGGAAUUUUGGACAAUGGGGGCAACCCUGAUCCAGCAAUGCCGCGUGAGUGAAGAAGGCCUUCGGGUUGUAAAGCUCUUUUGUCAGGGAAGAAAAGGGUCUGGCUAAUAUCCAGAUCUGCUGACGGUACCUGAAGAAUAAGCACCGGCUAACUACGUGCCAGCAGCCGCGGUAAUACGUAGGGUGCAAGCGUUAAUCGGAAUUACUGGGCGUAAAGCGUGCGCAGGCGGUUUUGUAAGUCUGUCGUGAAAUCCCCGGGCUUAACCUGGGAAUGGCGAUGGAGACUGCAAGGCUAGAGUUUGGCAGAGGGGGGUAGAAUUCCACGUGUAGCAGUGA